Molecule: ribosomal RNA, 538 nt
Filed under: uncultured bacterium
Lineage: Bacteria
Description: bacterial SSU rRNA
Rfam family: Bacterial small subunit ribosomal RNA
Source: RNAcentral
CCCCUGUGUGCCUUGGAGUCUCAGAGAGUUUGAUCCUGGCUUAGGAUGAACGCUGGCGGCGUGCCUAAUACGUGCAAGUCGAACGAGGGUGCUUGCACCCUAGUGGCGAACGGGUGAGUAACACGUAGGUAACCUGCCCUUAGUUUGGGAUACCCAGAGGAAACUUUGGCUAAUACCGGAUAUGAAUUCGAGAGGCAUCUCUUGAAUUUAAAAGGAGCGUUUGCUCCGCUUUAGGAUGGACCUGCGGCGCGUUAGCUAGUUGGUGAGAUAACAGCCCACCAAGGCGAGGAUGCGUAUCCGAUCUGAGAGGAUGACCGGACACAUUGGAACUGAGACACGGUCCAAACUCCUACGGGAGGCAGCAGUAAGGAGUUUUCGGCAAUGGGGGAAACCCUGACCGAGCAACGCCGCGUGAGUGAAUGACGGCCCUAUGGGUUGUAAAGCUCUGUUGUAAGGGACGAAUGGUGGAGUCAGGAAAUGGGCUCCAUUUGACGGUACCUUACCAGAAAGCCACGGCUAACUACGUGCCAGCCGCCGC